Long non-coding RNA from Ictalurus punctatus (channel catfish), 665 nucleotides. Lineage: Eukaryota; Metazoa; Chordata; Actinopteri; Siluriformes; Ictaluridae. The record is from Ensembl.
GGGGGGGACAUCAUGGCGGCGCACAUGAUAGCAUGAAGCACCGGUCACAGGGAACCUGGAGCCUAUCCCAGGGAGCAUUGGGCACAAGGAGGGGUUACACCAUGGACAGGGUGCCAAUCCAUCGCAGGUCACAAUCAUACACACACACACCGUUCAUACACUGUUCAUACACUAUGGACACUUUGGGCAUGCCAAUCAGUCUACCAUGCAUGUCUUUGGAAUGGGGAGGAAACCGGAGUACCUGGAGGAAACCCCCGCAGCACGGGGAGAACAUGCACACACAAGGCAGCAGGCAGGAAUCGAAUCCCCAAUGCUGAAGGUGUGAGGCGAAUGUGCUAACCACUAAGCCUAACAUAGGAUCUCUUCAUUGUGCUGGAGUCCUUUAAGGAUCCUCUUUACAAGCCUGUGCAUGAUGCAAACAGAAAUGGAUAUCUCUGAAAGCUGCCUUUUAAGCUAGCAGUCACUUCAGCUGCAUGCUCUGGUGAUAUGCUUACCUUGCAAGGAUUGAUGGCCAGAGGACUCUGGAGUGACCUUUGUUGCUGAACCCAGGGAUCCAACGGCUGAAGCAGAGUCUGCCGGAACGAAGCUCAAGCGAACUGACAAACGUACGACCGCCGUCUUCCCUGUUUCCAUGGAGAUGGGUGCAGAAACCUGCCUCUUAUGCC